GAUGAAGAACGUAGCGAAAUGCGAUAAGUAAUGUGAAUUGCAGAAUUCAGUGAAUCAUCGAAUCUUUGAACGCAUCUUGCGCUCCUUGGUAUUCCGAGGAGCAUGCCUGUUUGAGUGUCAUUAAAGUUCUCAACCAUGCCAGUUUUCUCUGGUCCAUGGCCUUGGAUGUGGGGGGCUUAUCAUUUUGCUGGCUUUGGAGACAAAGUCGGCUCCCCUGAAAUGCAUUAGUAGUAUUCGAGCAGAAAUCUACCACAGGUGUGAUGAAUUAUCUAUGCCUUGUAUCAACUGUGUGCACUGCUUUCUCUAACAACAUUUGACAAAUUUGACCUCAAAUCAGGCAGGACUACCCGCUGAACUUAAGCAUAUCAAUAAGCGGAGGA
This 380-nucleotide unclassified non-coding RNA is filed under the name soil metagenome. Its description in RNAcentral is "partial contains 5.8S ribosomal RNA, internal transcribed spacer 2, and large subunit ribosomal RNA". The stretch from base 1 to 120 matches the Rfam family "5.8S ribosomal RNA", at positions 35 to 154 of the family's 154-position model. The record is from RNAcentral.